GAUGAAGAACGUAGCGAAAUGCGAUAAUUAAUGUGAAUUGCAGAAUUCCGUGAAUCAUCGAGUCUUUGAACGCACAUUGCGCCCCCUGGUAUUCCGGGGGGCAUGCCUGUCCGAGCGUCAUUGCUGCCCAUCAAGCACGGCUUGUGUGUUGGGUCCUCGUCCCCCCCGGGGGACGUGCCCGAAAGGCAGCGGCGGCACCGCGUCCGGUCCUCGAGCGUAUGGGGCUUUGUCACCCGCUCUGCAGGCCCGGCCGGCGCUGGCCGACGCGAAAGCAACCAUUUUUUCUCCAGGUUGACCUCGGAUCAGGUAGGGAUACCCGCUGAACUUAAGCAUAUCAAUAAGCGGAGGA
Molecule: unclassified non-coding RNA, 349 nt
Filed under: soil metagenome
Description: partial contains 5.8S ribosomal RNA, internal transcribed spacer 2, and large subunit ribosomal RNA
Rfam family: 5.8S ribosomal RNA (bases 1-120)
Source: RNAcentral